AGGAGCUACAACAGGAACUAACAUUUUCCUCAAUUAUAAUAGUACAGUCAAAUUGGAAUACAAUAGCAUUUAGCACGUUCUUGAAUUUUGAAACCUGCCUUGCAAUACGAAGGGAUAAAAUCAUCUCAGGACUAAACUGACGCCUUGCGAAGGCUCCCUACACCUAGCAAGGCAACGGAGCAUGGAACAGCACAGACGACACAUGUGAGUUACACCAAAACCAGCAAGAUGUAGUGCCAAAGAGAUGGGGGACAGGGUCUAAAGAAACCAGAGUGGAGCAAAAAACUUUUUUAAUUUCUUGGGGCGAGGCGGGGGUCUGAAGAAGAACAGAACCAAAAGAUGAGCUGGAGUAUGAAAGAAGGAGAAAAAAUACAGAUGAGGGCGGGGCCUGGCCGCCAGGUCACAAGAAGGAUGUAAUCAAAGGCUCCGUAGUGAUGCUGGUCCCGGGUGAGCAUUUAUCAACGUUAAUUAGAAUCAAGUCAUGGGAUACUGUCCAUUUGGCUGAAAUCCUUCUGAAAUUCUGUUGGAUUUUCCUCUGCCCACAAUCAUAAUCAUCUGCAAACAACAAGGGAGAUUUCCUCCUUCCCAAACCUCUAUUCUCAUUGUCUGGUUUUUGAGUCACUCACCUGCCUCACUGCACGGGAUCUGCCCUCCGUUAGGACGUCAGACAGACGGUGUUGAGGGCAGCCUUCU
Molecule: long non-coding RNA, 693 nt
Organism: Balaenoptera ricei (Rice's whale)
Lineage: Eukaryota; Metazoa; Chordata; Mammalia; Artiodactyla; Balaenopteridae
Exons: 4
Source: RefSeq, a predicted model, not a curated record